Molecule: ribosomal RNA, 1053 nt
Filed under: Triticum aestivum (bread wheat)
Lineage: Eukaryota; Viridiplantae; Streptophyta; Magnoliopsida; Poales; Poaceae
Description: partial small subunit ribosomal RNA
Source: RNAcentral
AUGUUGAAGAGAUUUUUGAGGGGCUCUUCUAGCCAAGGCUCCCAGGAAAAACAAGCUAAAGAGAAGGAAAAGGCCAAAUAUAAUCUUCCUCGCAUAGCGGAAAUACGGCCGUGUGAAUGGCCAUGCGAUGAUUUCUUGAGAGAAGCUGGAAUUUAUGAAGAUUUUUAUUCUUUGAUAGAGAAUGCAGGCCUCACCGAUUUCCUCCACGACCGGAUCGAUCAGUAUCUCUUACUCACCAAUACCUUCAUGCAAAACUUUUAUUAUUAUCCUAAGAAGUCACUGCCUUCAGUAUCAUUUCAUUUAUAUGAUGAAUUCAGAGAAAUGUCUUUACCUGAUUUCUGCGUGGUAUGUAGGAUACCCUUUGAGGGAGAAUUAGAGGAACCACAUCCUAGGGAUGUGGAUGGCUUUGUUAACACUAUCACUAUAGGGGAUCCAAAGAAGGGUUCUGAUGCGAGAAUCUCUAGCAUACACUUUCCUGUUCUACGCUACUUUUCCACAUUUGCUAGUAGAUGCUUGAUUGGUCAUGGAAAUAGUGGAAACUUCAGUGUCCCAGAUAUUAUUAUUCUAUUCCAUGCCUUGUUUUGUGAUAAUAGUUUUAGUAUGGGUGCCGUUAUUGCUAAACGUCUAAACCUGAAUCGUACAAAAGGCCCCAUCCUUGGAGGUAUCUAUGUUGCACGUCUUGCUAGACAUUCUGAGAUACCUAUUAGGCACUAUGAGAAAGAGGAGACAAUAUUGCCUCCUUAUAUUUUAGAUUACAGGAGCAUGGUAGCACAUGGGUUUAUUGUUCAUAAUGAUGAUAAGAUGCUCCUGUAUAACUUGAGAUUUAACAAGAAACACAAUGAGACUAUUAUUCUGCCUGCACCUCUGUUGUUUGAUUUGACUGUAGAUAAUUACCUUGUCACGUCGGAAGCUGUGUACGCUCAUCGAGGCCAAGCAUCCACUCCAGAACCUGAGCCCGAGCCGGAACCACCACUGGACCCAUAUCGUCCAUCAUCUUAUCAGUGGGAUCCGGAGGAGAUCUCCAACCAAUGGUAUCCUGAUUACACCUCUUAG